This 726-nucleotide ribosomal RNA is filed under the name Loigolactobacillus coryniformis. RNAcentral's name for it is "bacterial SSU rRNA". It matches the Rfam family "Bacterial small subunit ribosomal RNA", at positions 60 to 750 of the family's 1533-position model. The record is from RNAcentral. Lineage: Bacteria; Bacillati; Bacillota; Bacilli; Lactobacillales; Lactobacillaceae.
AGUCGAACGCACUGACGUCGACCGAAGCUGCUUGCAGUGGACGUUGAUUGACGUGAGUGGCGGACGGGUGAGUAACACGUGGGUAACCUACCCUUAAGUGGGGGAUAACAUUUGGAAACAGAUGCUAAUACCGCAUAACCAUUCAGACCACAUGGUCUGAAUGUAAAAGACGGCCUUUGGCUGUCACUUUUGGACGGACCCGCGGCGUAUUAGUUAGUUGGUAAGGUAACGGCUUACCAAGACAAUGAUACGUAGCCGACCUGAGAGGGUAAUCGGCCACAUUGGGACUGAGACACGGCCCAAACUCCUACGGGAGGCAGCAGUAGGGAAUCUUCCACAAUGGACGAAAGUCUGAUGGAGCAACGCCGCGUGAGUGAAGAAGGUUUUAGGAUCGUAAAACUCUGUUGUUGGAGAAGAACAGGGACUAGAGUAACUGUUAGUCCUUUGACGGUAUCCAACCAGAAAGCCACGGCUAACUACGUGCCAGCAGCCGCGGUAAUACGUAGGUGGCAAGCGUUGUCCGGAUUUAUUGGGCGUAAAGCGAGCGCAGGCGGUUUUUUAAGUCUGAUGUGAAAGCCUUCGGCUUAACCGAAGAAGUGCAUUAGAAACUGGGAAACUUGAGUGCAGAAGAGGACAGUGGAACUCCAUGUGUAGCGGUGAAAUGCGUAGAUAUAUGGAAGAACACCAGUGGCGAAGGCGGCUGUCUGGUCUGUAACUGACGCUGAG